This 71-nucleotide transfer RNA is filed under the name Bos taurus (domestic cattle). It matches the Rfam family "tRNA". Rfam says of the family: Transfer RNA (tRNA) molecules are approximately 80 nucleotides in length. Their secondary structure includes four short double-helical elements and three loops (D, anti-codon, and T loops). Further hydrogen bonds mediate the characteristic L-shaped molecular structure. tRNAs have two regions of fundamental functional importance: the anti-codon, which is responsible for specific mRNA codon recognition, and the 3' end, to which the tRNAs corresponding amino acid is attached (by aminoacyl-tRNA synthetases). tRNAs cope with the degeneracy of the genetic code in two manners: having more than one tRNA (with a specific anti-codon) for a particular amino acid; and 'wobble' base-pairing, i.e. permitting non-standard base-pairing at the 3rd anti-codon position. The record is from Rfam by way of RNAcentral. Lineage: Eukaryota; Metazoa; Chordata; Mammalia; Artiodactyla; Bovidae. RNAcentral also lists the same sequence under 5 other names.
UCUCUGGUGGCUCAGUGGUAAAGCAUCUGCCUGCAAUGCAGGAGACAUGGGUUCGAUCCCUGGGUUGGGAA